CCACCCCCAAGCAUGUGUAAAGACAUCUGAAGUGUCUAACAAACAAUGACUUAGAGGUCAGACUGCUAUCUUUCCUGCUUCCAAGAUAGGAAUUAGGGAGAUGGGGUCAUACUCCAGUGUGCCAGGCUACCAAAUUUCUCUUAGACCCCAGAAGCCACCCCAUUUAAAUACCUCAGAGUUUUGUCUGCAAGACCAUGAGAAAUUCUUCUGCAGUUUGGUAGGACCUCCAAAAGCUGAGGUUUUGAGUGAAAGCAAAGAUGAAAAGCUCUAAAAUCCCCCAUUGUCCUUUUUCCUUCCAUACAUUCUGAACUGGUCAGUGGGUUGGAUCCUCAGCAGUGGAAAGCAUCCUUGUCCUUCUGUUCUCAAUGGACCUAUGCUAGUUUAUGCCAGCUCCAGAUCUGGCCCAAAGACUCUAUAAAAACACAGAGUCUGAUGCCAGCCAGACAGCUAACACUAGGGAAAUGCAGUUCUCCUGCCAUCAGUAUCUCUCACCACACACAGGGCCCCUGGAGAUUUAUAGUGCUACCAGCUCUUCCUGCUGUGCAUUUUCAAAUGAAAAUGGAAGUAUUUGGCUUUUAGAAAAAUCAUUCAAACUUCCCAUAGGGCAGAUUUUAUUACUGUUAAAACAUUUGGGUCCUACACUGCAGCCUUCCCUUGCUGAAAGAGCACAUGCUGUGCUGAUGAAUAGGUAGCAUCUUGGCUAACCCUCAUUCAGACCAAUACUACUGGUUAUAUUCUGUAGAUUUUGAAUACUGGGCUCCCAUUACCUUAGACUUGGAAGCUAGCUCCAUAGGGAGACCAGGCCUUCCACCAAUAACCCAAACACAUUCAGUUUUUUUAUCCUUACUUUUCUUUAUCACAACAUUACAGGCUGCAGGAGAAAUACAUAACGUACAUAAUAUUCCAGAUACAAAUAUCUUCAUGAGAUCUCCAGAACCUCAAUCAAGGGCCGAAUCUGCACACCCAGAGCUAACUUGCAUCUGAGAGGAGGUGCUCCUAAGUCCCCAUCUGAUUCCUGACAGAGAAUCUAUGAUGAAGGUUUGCCAUCCACACUACAGAAUUUUUUUAAGAUAGCUACUAAUGCUAAAAUAUAAUCACCACAGGCUUAGGGCUGCUGCAGGUAAUCCUUUCUUCUGCAGUUGUAAUAGGCUAGGCAGUGAAAUAACACCAUAAACAUACUCAGCUUCACUAUCAGGGGAUGCAGGACUCACAGGAGGUCACUAUCAGGGGAUGCAGACCUGAGGUCACAGGUAUCUCAGCUUGUCCAUGUGGGAAAGCUGGAGUGCAGUAAAUUAGGGUGCACAGUUACAACACACUAACUGCUGCACACAAACUCUGAAACAAGAGUACCCAGCCUCAUGCUAAGAAUGUCUGCACAAGGACUUGGGACAGAGCAGCUACUUCAUUGGACACUGAUUUCCCUGUAUAGACCCUUCAAGAGCCUGGCAUGAGCUGAAGCAGGAGAGGAGUCACUCUGACUUGCCAUGCGGACAACCACAACCAAGACACAGGAUUUAGUAUUAAAGAUCCAUAGUUUGUACCUGACCAAUAAUGUGUAAGAUCCCUUCUCAAGGAUGCGUUGUAAGACCCCAAAGCAGUUUGCUUCAUUUAAUUGCAGACACAUUUACUUAUCUAGGGACCACAGCAGGGGCCAGAGUAUCAGGAUUCCUGGGUUCUUUCCCUGGCUCUAGCAGUGACUUGCUGUGUGGCUUCAGCUCUACUUCAAAAUGAAGAUCUCAGCAUCAUCUGCUUCCUGGUGUAGGGAGGUUUUUGAAGUACUCCCAAUUGCGCAUAAAUGAUAAAGAUCAGCAGGCUGAUUUUUCAUUGCUCUACAUCACAAAUAUUCAUUUACAUCCAUGAAAGAUAAAUGCACAGUUCUUGUACUGACAGUGUUUUUACCCUUACUUAGCCCUGUGAACAACAUAUGAUAAUGGAGAAUUAAGCCCCAAGGAUUCAAUGUUGAAUGGCUAAUGUGUUAUAAUGUAACUAUGUUAUAAUGUUUAACAUAAGCUUGAUGCAUGCUGUCACAGUGAAGUAUAUGCCUUAGUCAUUUAAAAACAUUUCUAUCCCAUCUGAUUUCAUCAUCUUUUCCUCUGUGCUCCUGGUUGCAGGCCACAGACCUAGGAGGGAAGGAUGUGUCAAAGAAGUGAACCGAUGACUCUGGCAGUUGUGCUACCAAGAGGGCUUCAAUUUCUUUGACCACAGUGCAAUUUCAGGGAGAGACGACUCCUGGGAAGGGAUGGCAUCCACCUAAUGCAGAGGGGUAAGUCCCUGUUUUCAGCCAGGAUGGCCCAUCUUUUAGAUAGGGCCUUAAACUAAGAUUGCUAGGGGACAGGGAAACACUGACUGAAACAUGCCUGGAGGCCGGCACACAAGUUCUCUUCCUCCUGGUGUUGUCUUCCUGAGCACUGAGAUGUAAGACAGCAGCUAGCAUUACAGUAUAAAUGUGCUUCAGACCUCCUCACUCCCAGGAGGCUUUGAAGGAUUUUGUGACAUCUCCAUACAAAGAAUCAUGCAAAGCCAAAGGGCUGAACCUGUACCAUUCAUAUGCUACAGGUAUAAUAUAUUCACUGAAGUAGCUGAAUGCUAUUAUUACUCAACAACCUUGGCUGAAAUAGAGUAAGGCACAUUCUUGGGCCCUGAAACUCCUAGCUGACAUUAGGAGAUGCACCAGAUCAGAGGCAGGCUGCCCUGGCUGACCAGAA
Gavialis gangeticus (Gharial) is the source of this 2705-nucleotide long non-coding RNA. RefSeq lists it as uncharacterized. The transcript is spliced from 3 exons. The record is from RefSeq and is a predicted model, not a curated record. NCBI's taxonomy places the organism in Eukaryota, Metazoa, Chordata, Crocodylia, Gavialidae.